GCUUGUCUCAAAGAUUAAGCCAUGCAUGUCUAAGUAUAGUACCUUAUACUGCGAAACUGCGAAUGGCUCAUUAAAUCAGUUAUAAUUCAUUUGAUGGUACUUACUACUCGGAUAACCGUAGUAAUUCUAGAGCUAAUACAUGCGCAAAGUCCUGACUCGCGAGGGGAGGGAUGUAUUUAUUAGAUACAAAACCAAUGCGGGUUCUGCUCGCCAUUGUGUUGAAUCAUAGUAACUUAUCGAACGCCAUAGCCUUGUGCUGGGCGUAGAUCAUUCAAAUUUCUGCCCUAUCAGCUUUCGACGGUAGUGUAGUGGACUACCGUGGCGUUAACGGGUAACGGGGAAUUAGGGUUCGAUUCCGGAGAGGGAGCCUGAGAAACGGCUACCACAUCCAAGGAAGGCAGCAGG
Molecule: ribosomal RNA, 405 nt
Filed under: uncultured Rhogostoma
Lineage: Eukaryota; Cercozoa; Thecofilosea; Cryomonadida
Description: partial small subunit ribosomal RNA
Rfam family: Eukaryotic small subunit ribosomal RNA
Source: RNAcentral